GCCUGACGGAGCGACACCGCGUGCAGGAUGAAGGCCUUCGGGUUGUAAACUGCUGUCACGUUUUAGGGACGAACGGGCGUUAAUAGCGCUCGGACUGACCAAGGCGAGAGGAAGCACCGGCUAACUCUGUGCCAGCAGCCGCGGUAAGACAGAGGGUGCAAACGUUGUUCGGAAUUACUGGGCAUAAAGAGCACGUAGGUGGUGCGCUAAGUCACGUGUGAAAUCCCCCGGCUCAACCGGGGAAUGGCGCGUGAUACUGGCGGACUCGAGGCGGGUAGGGGUGAGCGGAACUCCAGGUGGAGCGGUGAAAUGCGUAGAUAUCUGGAGGAACACCGGUGGCGAAAGCGGCUCACUGGACCUGAUCUGACACUGAGGUGCGAAAGCUAGGGUAGCAAACGGGAUUAGAUACCCCGGUAGUCCUAGCCGUAAACGAUGGGCACUGGGCAGGGGGGAUACCUAUGCCCUCUCUGCCGGAGCUAAUGUGUUAAGUGCCCCGCCUGGGGAGUACGCUCGCAAGGGUAAAACUCAAAGAAAUUGACGGGGGC
Molecule: ribosomal RNA, 545 nt
Filed under: uncultured Planctomycetota bacterium
Lineage: Bacteria; Pseudomonadati; Planctomycetota
Description: bacterial SSU rRNA
Rfam family: Bacterial small subunit ribosomal RNA
Source: RNAcentral